RNAcentral lists this ribosomal RNA (253 nucleotides) under uncultured bacterium. RNAcentral's name for it is "partial 16S ribosomal RNA". It matches the Rfam family "Bacterial small subunit ribosomal RNA", at positions 524 to 776 of the family's 1533-position model. The record is from RNAcentral.
UACGUAGGGUGCGAGCGUUAAUCGGAAUUACUGGGCGUAAAGCGUGCGCAGGCGGCUUUGCAAGACAGAUGUGAAAUCCCCGGGCUCAACCUGGGAACUGCAUUUGUGACUGUAUAGCUAGAGUACGGCAGAGGGGGAUGGAAUUCCGCGUGUAGCAGUGAAAUGCGUAGAUAUGCGGAGGAACACCGAUGGCGAAGGCAAUCCCCUGGGCCUGCACUGACGCUCAUGCACGAAAGCGUGGGGAGCAAACAGG